RNAcentral lists this transfer RNA (75 nucleotides) under Tolypothrix sp. PCC 7910. Its description in RNAcentral is "tRNA-Ile". It matches the Rfam family "tRNA". From Rfam's summary of the family: Transfer RNA (tRNA) molecules are approximately 80 nucleotides in length. Their secondary structure includes four short double-helical elements and three loops (D, anti-codon, and T loops). Further hydrogen bonds mediate the characteristic L-shaped molecular structure. tRNAs have two regions of fundamental functional importance: the anti-codon, which is responsible for specific mRNA codon recognition, and the 3' end, to which the tRNAs corresponding amino acid is attached (by aminoacyl-tRNA synthetases). tRNAs cope with the degeneracy of the genetic code in two manners: having more than one tRNA (with a specific anti-codon) for a particular amino acid; and 'wobble' base-pairing, i.e. permitting non-standard base-pairing at the 3rd anti-codon position. Lineage: Bacteria; Bacillati; Cyanobacteriota; Cyanophyceae; Nostocales; Tolypothrichaceae. The record is from RNAcentral.
UGCAGUGUAGCUUAAUGGUAAAGCCCCAAGCUCAUAACUUGGUCUAUGCGAGUUCGACUCUCGCCGCUGCUACCA